GCCUGGGUGGCUCAGUCGGUUGAGCGUCUGACUUCAGCUCAGGUCAUGAUCUCGCGGUCCGUGGGUUCAAGCCCCGCGUCGGGCU
This 85-nucleotide transfer RNA is filed under the name Felis catus (domestic cat). It matches the Rfam family "tRNA". From Rfam's summary of the family: Transfer RNA (tRNA) molecules are approximately 80 nucleotides in length. Their secondary structure includes four short double-helical elements and three loops (D, anti-codon, and T loops). The record is from Rfam by way of RNAcentral. Lineage: Eukaryota; Metazoa; Chordata; Mammalia; Carnivora; Felidae.